RNAcentral lists this ribosomal RNA (253 nucleotides) under uncultured bacterium. RNAcentral describes it as "partial 16S ribosomal RNA". It matches the Rfam family "Bacterial small subunit ribosomal RNA", at positions 524 to 776 of the family's 1533-position model. The record is from RNAcentral.
UACGUAGGGUGCAAGCGUUGUCCGGAAUUAUUGGGCGUAAAGAGCUCGUAGGCGGUCUGUCGCGUCGGAUGUGAAAACCCGGGGCUUAACCCCGGGCCUGCACUCGAUACGGGCAGACUCGAGUGUGGUAGGGGAGACUGGAACUCCUGGUGUAGCGGUGAAAUGCGCAGAUAUCAGGAAGAACACCGGUGGCGAAGGCGGGUCUCUGGGCCACUACUGACGCUGAGGAGCGAAAGCGUGGGGAGCGAACAGG